This 836-nucleotide ribosomal RNA is filed under the name Metapochonia cordycipiticonsociata. Its description in RNAcentral is "LSU rRNA". It matches the Rfam family "Eukaryotic large subunit ribosomal RNA", at positions 72 to 938 of the family's 3401-position model. Lineage: Eukaryota; Fungi; Ascomycota; Sordariomycetes; Hypocreales; Clavicipitaceae. The record is from RNAcentral.
GGGAUGCCCCAGUAACGGCGAGUGAAGCGGCAACAGCUCAAAUUUGAAAUCUGGCCCCUAGGGUCCGAGUUGUAAUUUGCAGAGGAUGAUUUUGGCGAGGUGCCUUCCGAGUUCCCUGGAACGGGACGCCACAGAGGGUGAGAGCCCCGUCUGGUUGGACGCCGAGCCUAUGUAAAUCUCCUUCGACGAGUCGAGUAGUUUGGGAAUGCUGCUCUAAAUGGGAGGUAUAUGUCUUCUAAAGCUAAAUAUUGGCCAGAGACCGAUAGCGCACAAGUAGAGUGAUCGAAAGAUGAAAAGCACUUUGAAAAGAGGGUUAAAUAGUACGUGAAAUUGUUGAAAGGGAAGCGCUCAUGACCAGACUUGGGCCCGGUGAAUCAUCCAGCGUUCUCGCUGGUGCACUUUGCCGGGCACAGGCCAGCAUCAGUUUGCCCCGGGGGAUAAAGGCUUUGGGAAUGUGGCUCCUCCGGGAGUGUUAUAGCCCAUUGCAUAAUAUCCUGGGGCGGACUGAGGUUCGCGCAUCUGCAAGGAUGCUGGCGUAAUGGUCAUCAGCGACCCGUCUUGAAACACGGACCAAGGAGUCGUCUUCGUAUGCGAGUGUUCGGGUGUAAAACCCCUACGCGUAAUGAAAGUGAACGCAGGUGAGAGCUUCGGCGCAUCAUCGACCGAUCCUGAUGUUCUCGGAUGGAUUUGAGUAAGAGCAUACGGGGCCGGACCCGAAAGAAGGUGAACUAUGCCUGUAUAGGGUGAAGCCAGAGGAAACUCUGGUGGAGGCUCGCAGCGGUUCUGACGUGCAAAUCGAUCGUCAAAUAUGGGCAUGGGGGCGAAAGACUAAUCGA